UACGUAGACGGGAAAUUAAGUCAGUAGUGAAAUCCCACAGCUUAACUGUGGAACUGUUAUUGAUACUGGUUUUCUUGAAUAUAGUUGAGGUAGGCGGAAUGUGUAAUGUAGCGGUGAAAUGCUUAGAUAUUACACAGAACACCGAUUGCGAAGGCAGCUUACUAAGCUAUGAUUGACGCUGAGGUACGAAAGCGUGGGGAGCGAACAGGAUUAGAUACCCUGGUAGUCC
This 229-nucleotide ribosomal RNA is filed under the name uncultured bacterium. RNAcentral describes it as "partial 16S ribosomal RNA". It matches the Rfam family "Bacterial small subunit ribosomal RNA", at positions 568 to 796 of the family's 1533-position model. The record is from RNAcentral.